Molecule: long non-coding RNA, 933 nt
Filed under: Nicotiana benthamiana
Lineage: Eukaryota; Viridiplantae; Streptophyta; Magnoliopsida; Solanales; Solanaceae
Description: long non-coding RNA (NBEN_LNC012426)
Source: RNAcentral
AUUCACCCAACCCAAACCUCACGUCCAGCCCAAUAAACCAAACCACCUGCUAACCCGCCCCUACCCUGUCCACCCUGCCCAUAACCAAGUGACUCCCCUUUCAAUCUCCUUCCUCAUUUUUCUAGUACCUAGCUGCCACACCUUAAAGAACCCUAACCUAGAUCCCUCUUCUUCAUUGCUUCUUCAGCCAUCAACACAGCCAAAGGACCACCCUAAAUCACCAGAAUCAGCUGCAACUCCAAAGAACAAUCAGACCCUCAACGCCUUCUUCUCCUUUAGAUCUGCGAAAGAACGUGGCAACCAAAGACAAGACCACCAUACCCCCUCAACUACACGCAAAGAACGUGAACACCACAUAUCUCACACUACCUGGAACUCGCCAAAAAUAGCAGCAGUGCCAUCUCUUUACCGUCGGAAUUAGGUGAGAAGAAACCCAGUCACUGCUUCUGCUUUCUCCCCAUUCACAACAGCUUGCACAGAAUCACAACACACACACACACACAAGAACAAACUAAAACAAGAGAAAAUCGGUGCAGUAAACCGAUCGAAGAAAAGUGAGUGAUUUGAGAUAAGUUCUUCGAUCAAUGGGGAAUUGUUGAAUUCUCGCUCAAGUUCCGGUCCGUUAUUCUAGUUCGAUGUUGUUGAUUUCGUUUGAAGUCGUUUCUAUGUGCAGUUGUAAUUGUUGUUUCAUUUCGGUUAAUUGAAGCUAUAACUUCAGAUUUGUUUUUCUUUUAUUACUUGCUUUGAUAUUGAAUUUUAAUGUGAAUGAGUGCCUUGUUUGCUUAGUCUCAAUGUGCUCAAAUGGAUUCCAAUUUUAUUUGUGUUUGCAUAGAUCUCUUGGAGUGUUCUUGGUGUCACCUUUAGGCUUAGACCUGCUUUAAACCUGUUUAAUCCAGUGUGGUUAUUGUAUGAAGGAUUAGUGAUGUGCUCGUC